Small nuclear RNA from Marchantia polymorpha subsp. polymorpha, 198 nucleotides. It matches the Rfam family "U2 spliceosomal RNA". Rfam says of the family: U2 is a small nuclear RNA (snRNA) component of the spliceosome (involved in pre-mRNA splicing). Complementary binding between U2 snRNA (in an area lying towards the 5' end but 3' to hairpin I) and the branchpoint sequence (BPS) of the intron results the bulging out of an unpaired adenosine, on the BPS, which initiates a nucleophilic attack at the intronic 5' splice site, thus starting the first of two transesterification reactions that mediate splicing. Lineage: Eukaryota; Viridiplantae; Streptophyta; Marchantiopsida; Marchantiales; Marchantiaceae. The record is from Rfam.
AUACCUCUCUCGGCCUUUUGGCUAAGAUCAAGUGUAGUAUCUGUUCUCAUCAGAUUAAUAUCUGAUACGAGGGUCAUCGAUCCUAACGAUAUUAAUCUAAUUUCUCUCACGGGUGCGGGUCCAAUCAGGCAGCUUGCUGUCUCGGACUCGCCAGUGUAGCCUCGGUAUUGCACCACUUCCUUGGCCUGCGCAGCCCCU